GAUUAUUUAGGACCGGUUCGAACCGGUGCGCAAUUUAAACCAGAAACCCGCAUAAGUUUAAUUAUUUCGCGAAACCUUGUUCUUCCUUCAAUUCAUUUCCCCUGCUUUUCCACAUUGAAUGCUUCGUUCCUUCUCUCGUUCUCGCCUAGCAUCACUAUGGCUAUCCUUCAUUGAAGCGCACUCUGAGCUUUCUCACCUCCAUUGCCGCCAAGGUCAAUUUCUUUUUUCUCUCCAUAGCCCUCCUACAUUGAAACGCAUUCAGAGCUUUCUCAUCCCGAUCUAUUGAAGCGAAUUCAAGGGUUUUCUCACCUCCAUUGUAGCAGCUUCGAGGGUUUGUCAUUGAAGCGCGCACGACUCUACCUCCACCACAACAACCUAUUUGUCACGGCGGCAUGGCCUUCUUUUUCUAGGGUUUAUCGUCGAUUGAGGUUUGAUUAAUUCAUUGCUGUUAUUUGCUUAAAGGUAUGCUUAUUGUUGGAGAGUUCUAUUUGUUUGGUGAUGUGGUUUCUUCUUGACAGUUGAAUUAUUGGUGAUAAGUUGUUGUAAUACUCUUAAAAGGUUUGUGCUAAUUUGGUGUCAUGAUUUGCUUAAAGGUUUUGACUUCUUUAUUCUGUUUCUUGUUUCUUUAGCUCUUGCAGAUAUUUUGUGUAUGUUUAUGCUUAGUGUUUGAAUCGUCUAGUAGAUUAUUUGUUGAUUUCGAUGGCGAAAUUCUUUAAAGGUUUGUGCUUAUUGAUGAUUGAUCAGGAGUGCUGAUGGGUAACCAAUUUUUUUGAAUUAGGGUUAUUUGGUUUUAUAUUUGUAGAGUGCAGUUAUUGGAAGGUGAACAAUGCUGUUAGUUGAUUUUGUUGAUCAUUGAAUAGGUUUGCCUAUUUGGUAUGCUUGAUCAUUUGAGUUGAUUGAUUACCAAUUUUUUCGAAUUCGGUUUUUUGUUUGGUUUGAUUCUUGUUGAGCAUGCAGUUGCUUAUUGGCUGUUGACUAAUCGGUGAUCAAGUUAGCUGAAUAUAAAGGUUUUGCGCUAUUCAAAUUUUUCGAAUUAGGGUAUUUUUUGGUUUGAUUCUUGAGCAUGCAGUUUUUUGUUAGCUGUUGAAUAUUUGGUGAUCAAGUUAGCUGAAUAAAAAGGUUUCGGUUAAUUGAGGUUUGAUCUAUUGGCUCAUUGAUUAUAAAAUUCUUCAAACUUAGGGUUUUUGGUUUGAUUUUUGAUUAUUAGAAAGGCUUGCAGGAUUGGUGUUUGAUCUCUAGAGCUAUUAUGAUUUAACGCUUUGUUUGUUGCUGCACUGUCCUUUGUUACAUAAAAAUGUGGCAGAGUUUUGGGCAGCUACUUUUGCAGUUUUUUCAAGCUUGUGAAUAUUACCAGUUAUCACCAAAAAUUAUCCACAAACCUAUCUUAACCAAAAAAAAUUUGGGUAAACAUAUAGAUUCUACAUAACUAAUCUGAUAUUGUAGUUUGUUUGACUUGGUAUUAAUUAAUUUCUGAUUAGUGAUUAAUUUUACGAAUAUUAUUAUUGUUAAUGGUGCUUUUUAGUGACUAAUAUGGCUAACUACCCGUACACCUGGACUUGCAAAGAAAAAAUUGCCUUGCGGUGAUCAAGUGGGUUAUUUGCUAAAAGGUUUGCUUAUUACUGGAUAUUUCUUUUUAUUUGGUCAUGUGGCUAUUUCUUGACAGUUGAAUUAUUGAUCAUCAAGUUGGUGUUGUGUCAAUUGUUUCUUCUAUGAAGCAUUUCGUCUAAGGUGGUGUAGUGCUCUGCAGAUAUGUAAGUGCUAUCCAGGUAGUGCUUCUCCUAAGAUUUUAUUGUUAUUUAGUUAAAAUCAAGUCAUGGAAUCUCUUGGUCCAUUAUACCAGCGAUCACAUGGCCACAAAAUUGCACUUCAAACUUCUGAGACAGGCUAAGGAACCUUUUCUUACGACUUUAUACCCGUUAUUGUCUUCUUUAGGUCAUUUAUUUAUUACGGGGUAAUGUUGAGUUGUUAUUUUGUUGGAUAGAUAUCACAUCCGUGUUGCAUGCUUGCUGGAGAUUACAAUGAUUCGUUUCUACUGUGCUUUCUCUACAUCUAGUAUGGCAAUAGGAAAAUUCAUUUGUUAACUAUUUCUUUUUUGUGAGUUGAUUAGUUUCAGCUGCCUGGUAUGUGUGCUUAUCCUUAUUAUGAUCAUUUACUCACACUAUCAAAGCUAUGGAGCCAUUUUUCUCUGUUUUACUGUCUGCUGCAUAUUUGGGAGAGGUAUAUUUCACAUAAUUUUCAUGUGUUUAUUUUUACAUACAUAGAAUUGUUGAAAUGUGAAAGAUUCUCUGAUGAGUAGGAUUAGACAUUGUUUAGCCAGUGGUUGAAGUAUUUAUUAUGUUUUCGCUUGUGAUUCAAUUUAUGUGUGGGUUAAUUUUCAUAUCCUUCAAUGCGGAAUCCCACUCCUUGGGUUGUGCUUUCACUUCUUCCCAUUGUUGGAGGGGUGGCUCUUGCAUGUGUGACUGAAGCCUCUUUAAACUGGUCAGCGAAUUAACUUUAUGACAAGAUUUUAUGCUUCCUAUUUCCAAGGAUCCCGCUGGGUUUUCAGCAUGAGUAUUAUCUGAACCAUUUGCUUAUUGUGUUUUUGUUUUCAUGAAGGGCUGGUUUUUGGAGUGCUAUGGCUUCUAAUGUGACAAACCAAUCCCGUAAUGUCCUUAGCAAGAAGGUCAUGCUAAAGAAAGAGGAAUUAAUGAACAAUAUUACACUCUUCUCCAUAAUAACAGUUAUGUCCUUUAUACUAUUAGCCCCUGCGAUUAUUUUCAUGGAAGGUGUCAAAUUUACUCCUACAUACAUAGAAGCUGCUCUCUGGAGCCUGCAGUGAUCGGAACAAAGAAUGUGAUUACAGCAGCAGCAGAUGCAAAGAACCUGGUUUGUGCCAAGAAUUUGGUGAUAGACAAGAGCAUCCAAACAUCAUACAUUGAAGCAAUCAGAUCUGCUCAACAUUUCAUUUAUCUCACUCAACUAUUCUUUUAAUAUAUAGAUUUAUUUCCCUUCCAUUUUCUAGAACUCACAACUCGAUUCUUUUCUUUUAAUUUCUGUGAGAAAUGGUAUGCAUACUUUGCUAUGAGUUUAUUAAUAUUAUCUUUUAUCCAAUUUGUGAAUGACAGCAAUUAACUAAAUUGGAGUGCCAUAACCAAUGCCUGCUAUCGAAGAACUGUGGGUGCUUUGCUUGCGUAUGAUGUCACCUGGAAAGCUACAUUUGAGAAUGCUGCAAGGUGGUUGAGAGAGCUACGGGAGCACACUGAUCAGAAUGUUGUUACUACUGAUGAAGGGAAGGCUUUUGUAGAGCAGGAAGGUCUCGUCUUCAUGGAGACUUCUGCUCUUGAAGCAACCAAUGUGGAGCUGGCUUUCACUGAGGUUAGAUCCAUUGUAUCGUCAGCAAGAAGGCUGUUGAUGCUGGUGAUGCUUCUGCAUCGGCUGUUCCAUCCCAACGAGAGAGUAUAAUUGUAUAAAUAUAGAAAUGAGACCUCAGCUUGGAAGAAGAUAGGCUGCUGCUCAUACUAGUUACUUACUAUAGUAAGUCUUUGCUGUCACACCUUUUUGUUUCGCUGGAAAAAAUCCUAACUGGUUGAACUUCUGCUGGUCAGUUCCAUCACUUGAAAGAAAGAAUAGGAAUUUUCAUUGUCUAUAUUAUAUUUUAUUUUUUAGACAAAAAUUGUAAUAUUAUAGCCUUUUUUAGUCAAAAUAUGUAACUUUAUA
Molecule: long non-coding RNA, 3696 nt
Organism: Chenopodium quinoa (quinoa)
Lineage: Eukaryota; Viridiplantae; Streptophyta; Magnoliopsida; Caryophyllales; Amaranthaceae
Exons: 5
Source: RefSeq, a predicted model, not a curated record